GGGUUGUGAGGUUAAGCGACUAAGCGUACACGGUGGAUGCCCUGGCAGUCAGAGGCGAUGAAGGACGUGCUAAUCUGCGAUAAGCGUCGGUGAGGUGAUAUGAACCGUUAUAACCGGCGAUUUCCGAAUGGGGAAACCCAGUGUGUUUCGACACACUAUCAUUAACUGAAUCCAUAGGUUAAUGAGGCGAACCGGGGGAACUGAAACAUCUAAGUACCCCGAGGAAAAGAAAUCAACCGAGAUUCCCCCAGUAGCGGCGAGCGAACGGGGAGGAGCCCAGAGCCUGAAUCAGUGUGUGUGUUAGUGGAAGCGUCUGGAAAGGCGCGCGAUACAGGGUGACAGCCCCGUACACAAAAAUGCACAUAUUGUGAGCUCGAUGAGUAGGGCGGGACACGUGGUAUCCUGUCUGAAUAUGGGGGGACCAUCCUCCAAGGCUAAAUACUCCUGACUGACCGAUAGUGAACCAGUACCGUGAGGGAAAGGCGAAAAGAACCCCGGCGAGGGGAGUGAAAAAGAACCUGAAACCGUGUACGUACAAGCAGUGGGAGCCUCUUAAUGGGGUGACUGCGUACCUUUUGUAUAAUGGGUCAGCGACUUAUAUUCUGUAGCAAGGUUAACCGAAUAGGGGAGCCGAAGGGAAACCGAGUCUUAACUGGGCGUUAAGUUGCAGGGUAUAGACCCGAAACCCGGUGAUCUAGCCAUGGGCAGGUUGAAGGUUGGGUAACACUAACUGGAGGACCGAACCGACUAAUGUUGAAAAAUUAGCGGAUGACUUGUGGCUGGGGGUGAAAGGCCAAUCAAACCGGGAGAUAGCUGGUUCUCCCCGAAAGCUAUUUAGGUAGCGCCUCGUGAAUUCAUCUCCGGGGGUAGAGCACUGUUUCGGCAAGGGGGUCAUCCCGACUUACCAACCCGAUGCAAACUGCGAAUACCGGAGAAUGUUAUCACGGGAGACACACGGCGGGUGCUAACGUCCGUCGUGAAGAGGGAAACAACCCAGACCGCCAGCUAAGGUCCCAAAGUCAUGGUUAAGUGGGAAACGAUGUGGGAAGGCCCAGACAGCCAGGAUGUUGGCUUAGAAGCAGCCAUCAUUUAAAGAAAGCGUAAUAGCUCACUGGUCGAGUCGGCCUGCGCGGAAGAUGUAACGGGGCUAAA
Molecule: ribosomal RNA, 1152 nt
Filed under: Escherichia coli
Lineage: Bacteria; Pseudomonadati; Pseudomonadota; Gammaproteobacteria; Enterobacterales; Enterobacteriaceae
Description: partial 23S ribosomal RNA
Rfam family: Bacterial large subunit ribosomal RNA
Source: RNAcentral